UACGAAGGGGGCUAGCGUUGUUCGGAAUUACUGGGCGUAAAGCGUAUGUAGGCGGAUCUUUAAGUCGGGGGUGAAAUCCCGAGGCUCAACCUCGGAACUGCCUUCGAUACUGAAGAUCUUGAGUCCGGGAGAGGUGAGUGGAACUGCGAGUGUAGAGGUGAAAUGCGUAGAUAUUCGCAAGAACACCAGUGGCGAAGGCGGCUCACUGGCCCGGUACUGACGCUGAAAUACGAAAGCGUGGGGAGCAAACAGG
This 253-nucleotide ribosomal RNA is filed under the name uncultured bacterium. RNAcentral describes it as "partial 16S ribosomal RNA". It matches the Rfam family "Bacterial small subunit ribosomal RNA", at positions 524 to 776 of the family's 1533-position model. The record is from RNAcentral.